UUUCGUGGGGAUCGCCGUCAGUCAGCGCGUUGCGCCCACUGGCGCGAUUCGU
Molecule: small RNA, 52 nt
Filed under: Phaeovulum veldkampii DSM 11550
Lineage: Bacteria; Pseudomonadati; Pseudomonadota; Alphaproteobacteria; Rhodobacterales; Paracoccaceae
Description: Rhodobacter veldkampii DSM 11550 ffh sRNA
Rfam family: ffh sRNA
Source: RNAcentral